This 450-nucleotide ribosomal RNA is filed under the name uncultured bacterium. RNAcentral's name for it is "bacterial SSU rRNA". It matches the Rfam family "Bacterial small subunit ribosomal RNA", at positions 355 to 796 of the family's 1533-position model. The record is from RNAcentral.
UAGGGAAUAUUGCGCAAUGCCCGAAAGGGUGACGCAGCGACGCCGCGUGAGGGAUGAAGGCCUUCGGGUUGUAAACCUCUGUCACUUGGGAAGAACACGAUCUGGGUGAACAAUCCAGGUUGUUGACGUUACCGAGAGAGGAAGCACCGGCUAACUCUGUGCCAGCAGCUGCGGUAAUACAGAGGGUGCAAACGUUGCUCGGAUUCACUGGGCGUAAAGGGCACGUAGGCGGCCCGGUAAAUCAGUUGUGGAAGCCCAUGGCUCACCCAUGGAAUUGCAACUGAAAAUGCCGGUCUUGAGCGCAGGAGGGGUGAGGGGAACUCUAGGUGGAGCGGUGAAAUGCGUAGAUAUCUAGAGGAACGCCGGAGGCGAAAGCGUCUCACUGGCCUGCUGCUGACGCUGAGGUGCGAAAGCCAGGGGAGCAAACGGGAUUAGAUACCCCUGUAGUCC